Molecule: non-coding RNA, 54 nt
Organism: Salmo salar (Atlantic salmon)
Lineage: Eukaryota; Metazoa; Chordata; Actinopteri; Salmoniformes; Salmonidae
Source: Rfam
AUGCACCAAUACUGUAAAUCGCUCUGGAUAAGAGCGUCUGUUAAAUGACGUAAA